ACUUGACAUCAAUGACACAAAGAGAUUUCUGCACUUCUAUGUUCAUUGACGCCUUAUUCACAAUAGCCAAGACGUGGAAGCAACCUAAAUGUUCACUAACAGAUGAAUGGAUAA
This is a non-coding RNA of Ceratotherium simum simum (southern white rhinoceros), 114 nucleotides long. The record is from RefSeq and is a predicted model, not a curated record. NCBI's taxonomy places the organism in Eukaryota, Metazoa, Chordata, Mammalia, Perissodactyla, Rhinocerotidae.